UACGCAGGGGGCUAGCGUUGUUCGGAAUCACUGGGCGUAAAGGGCGCGUAGGCGGCUUUGUAAGUUAGAAGUGAAAUGCCAGGGCUUAACCUUGGAACUGCUUUUAAAACUGCAUGGCUAGAGUAUGGGAGAGGAUGGUGGAAUUCCUAGUGUAGAGGUGAAAUUCGUAGAUAUUAGGAGGAACACCGGUGGCGAAGGCGGCCAUCUGGACCAUUACUGACGCUGAGGCGCGAAAGCGUGGGGAGCGAACAGG
RNAcentral lists this ribosomal RNA (253 nucleotides) under uncultured bacterium. RNAcentral describes it as "partial 16S ribosomal RNA". It matches the Rfam family "Bacterial small subunit ribosomal RNA", at positions 524 to 776 of the family's 1533-position model. The record is from RNAcentral.